RNAcentral lists this ribosomal RNA (253 nucleotides) under uncultured bacterium. RNAcentral describes it as "partial 16S ribosomal RNA". It matches the Rfam family "Bacterial small subunit ribosomal RNA", at positions 524 to 776 of the family's 1533-position model. The record is from RNAcentral.
UACGGAGGGAGCAAGCGUUGCUCGGAAUUACUGGGCGUAAAGCGCGUGUAGGCGGUCUCGUGUGUCUGGCGUGAAAGCCACGGGCUCCCCCCGGGAAGUGCGUUGGAAACUGCGAGACUAGAGUUCCGGAGAGGAAGGUGGAAUUCCAGGUGUAGCGGUGAAAUGCGUAGAUAUCUGGAAGAACACCGGUGGCGAAGGCAGCCUUCUGGACGGUGACUGACGCUGAGACGCGAAAGCGUGGGGAGCAAACAGG